CCCCAACUCCAGCCCAAAAUCCAUUGCGGCCCCCGCUCGCGCGUACAGAGAGAUUGCGGCGCUCCUCUCCGCUGCCGCCCCCGCGGCCGCGGCCGCGGCCGGCGCGUUCCCCUCCGGCGGCCAUGUCCCCCUCCGGCGGCCGUGUGUUCUCGCUCGGCGCUGGCGCCAGCUAUGGAGAUGAACGGGCACCGGUGAAAGAGCACUGCGAGUUUUUGGACGAUCUGCAUCUGACGAGGCUGGACCUCCAUGGUGAGCACAAAUCAUCUCUAUUCUCUUUCAACUUGGUCAUUUCAGAGGAAAGGAAAUCAACUUGGUCAUCUCUGUUCUCUGUUGUCUUUUCUUACUAGCAGUUUCGUCCUUACUGAUGAUUCUUGUCUGCUAUGUGCACAAUAAAACCUUGUCAUCAGGAGGAAUCUGAGGUUUAUUUCUUCAUAUAUUGAGGUUGGGUGGUAGUAGUACCAAAAAUGAGUUGAUAGGUUGAUUCUGAUUGGGUACAGGUACACAUCUUGAAUGAUGUGCCGUGAGAGGAGAAAAAGAAAGGGACAUGGGCAGGAGUUUAGUGUAGAAAUUUUUCACAUGACUGUACAUAUCUUGAAUGUGUACACAUCUUGGAUGACAACUAGAGCAGCUUGGGAAUGUAAGUCUGUACAUGAAGUGGCAUGCUCAGUACUGAAAGGGUUACCUGAACAUUUUGCUGAAUGUCCUGCCUCAGGACUAGCAACGUUGGUCCAAUCUCAUCUUCAUCGAACAGAAUGUAGAGUUUGUCAGUUUAGUCUGAUUUUUCAGAAAGAGGUAUAUAUAGUGGAGAGAGUAGCACAUGGAAAAAGCAACAGAUGAUGGAAUAUGUUACUUUUCCGGGAC
This 861-nucleotide long non-coding RNA is filed under the name Sorghum bicolor (sorghum). RNAcentral's name for it is "long non-coding RNA (SBIC_LNC014839)". The record is from RNAcentral. Lineage: Eukaryota; Viridiplantae; Streptophyta; Magnoliopsida; Poales; Poaceae.